RNAcentral lists this ribosomal RNA (253 nucleotides) under uncultured bacterium. Its description in RNAcentral is "partial 16S ribosomal RNA". It matches the Rfam family "Bacterial small subunit ribosomal RNA", at positions 524 to 776 of the family's 1533-position model. The record is from RNAcentral.
UACGGGGGGGGCAAGCGUUGUUCGGAAUUACUGGGCGUAAAGGGCUCGUAGGCGGCCAACUAAGUCAGACGUGAAAUCCCUCGGCUUAACCGGGGAACUGCAUCUGAUACUGGAUGGCUUGAGUUCGGGAGAGGGAUGUGGAAUUCCCGGUGUAGUGGUGAAAUGCGUAGAGAUCGGGAGGAACACCUGUGGCGAAGGCGGCCCCCUGGGCCGGCCCUGACACUGAGACGCGAAGGCGUGGGGAGCGAACGGG